ACUGUGUAAGUAAAGCUAGAAUGAGAAACUACUACCUUCCACUAGAGAAAAACAAGAGAAAGUUUUUUUCAUAUUACACUGCCUUUAUGACUGCUUAGUUUUUGGUGAUCCUGGUUUAAUGAUCUUUCCCUUAUGCUAACUACGACCAGGGAUCACCUUGUUUUUUUUUUUGCCAAGACAGCUCUUGCUGGCCCUUUCCCAGAUCUUUUGUUCAACCAUUAUGACCAUGCUUUUGCUUCUUCUGGACUUUAGAUACCUAUAACAGUUUCAAGAAGGAUGUGAUGGAAAAGCACUUAUGCGAAUUUACAGGCAGUUGAGAGACGACCUUUUCCCAGCUUAGGCUCUUUAUUAAUUGGUGAAGGUUUUGUCCACAAAGGACACCUUAACCAGGGGAACAUUUAACAGAAUGUUGGGCACAGGUUACUCAUCUUCCUUCUCUGCUUUGUGAUCUCACCAGCAAUAACACCUCAUAUCUUGUGCACCUCAAACAGACAGACUUGGUUUCCUCACUUGCUUGACAUAUCCAUCGGUGUUUCAUAAUACAGACUGUUGAAUCAGGUUUUCAGCUGUUACCAACUCAUGUCAUACUGUCUCUGUGUGGUCCUACCAAAACUGUGCAUUGAGAUCCCUUUGCUUUGCCAUUUGCAAGUGUCUGAAGUUGUCAAGUCUCAACUUCCAGAAGUCUUGGUUCCAUUGACAGGAUACGUAUGUGAUGACUCUUUAGGGGGAAUUGACGUAAAGUCUAGAUUGUAUGUAGGUAUGAAGGGAAUUUUUUAAAUAAAUGGAAGAUUAAGCUGUGAACAGCAUUAGAACUUUGUCUAUUCCUUAAUUUUAAAAUAUGCUGAUAUGCCUUAAACUGUAGUUGUAGAUCACUGUCAUUUUGCUGUUGGAAAAUAACCAAUGUGUUUUUUAAAACUUGUGUAAUCUCCUUUCAGUGUUAAUGCAGAAUUGUCAUAUAUGUAAACUGCAUGUUAGACACUUGUCUUUUUUAAAAAACUAAAACAAUUGUAUUGGUGUGAAGCAUAUCAUUUUUUUCAAGUAUGAAAGUAAUCCCGUAGCAAACUGGCUCGGUCAUUUGGUAUCUGUGGAGGUAGGAGCGUGGUGGACAGGUAAUCUAUGCAUAUCACUAGUGCCAAGAACAUAAAGUGGGGGAAAAUAUAUUUUUACCCAAACAUUGUGUGCCCUUUUGUGAGUUCUUUUUAGUCACUGUUUGAUAUACAAAUGUACACAUGUUUAUAAUACUGGAUAAAAGAAAUAGGGAA
RNAcentral lists this long non-coding RNA (1262 nucleotides) under Bos taurus (domestic cattle). RNAcentral's name for it is "long non-coding RNA NONBTAT022610". Lineage: Eukaryota; Metazoa; Chordata; Mammalia; Artiodactyla; Bovidae. The record is from RNAcentral.